UUUCCUUCUUCUACUCUUCUUUUCUUUCUUCACUCUUCUUCCACUCUUCUUUCCUUCUUCCACUCUUCUUUCCUUUCUUCUUUCCUUCUUCCACUCUUCUUUCCUUCUUUCUCUCUUCUUUCUUUUCUUCUUUCCUUCUUCCACUCUUCUUUCCUUCUUUCACUCUUCUUUCUUUCCUUCUUCCACUCUUUUUUCCUUCUUUCACUCUUCUUUCCUUCUUUCACUUUUCUUUUUUUUCUUCUUUCCUUCUUCCACUCUUCUUUUCUUUCUUCACUCUUCUUUCUUUUCUUCUUUCCUUCUUCUUUACUUCUUCCACUCUUCUUUCCUUUCUUCUUUCCUUCUUAUACUUUUCUUUUUUUCCUCUUUCCUUCUUCUUUCCUUUCUUCACUCUUCUUUCUUUUCUUCUUUCCUUCUUCCCUUCUUCUUUCCUUCUUCCACUCUCCUUUCCUUUCUUCUUUCCUUCUUCCACUCUUCUUUCCUUCUUCUACUCUUCUUUUCUUUCUUCACUCUUCUUUCCUUCUUUUACUCUACUUUCCUUUCUUCUUUCCUUCUUUCUUUUCUUCUUCCACUCUUCUUUCCUUUCUUCACUCUUCUUUCCUUUCUUCUUUCCUUCUUUCACUCUUCUUUCUUUUCUUCUUUCCUUUCUUCACUAUUCUUUCCUUUAUUCUUUCCUUCUUCCACUCUUCUUUCCUUCUUCUACUCUUCUUUUCUUUCUUCACUCUUCUUUCCUUCUUUUACUCUACUUUCCUUUCUUCUUUCCUUCUUUCUUUUCUUCUUCCACUCUUCUUUCCUUUCUUCACUCUUCUUUCCUUUCUUCUUUCCUUCUUUUACUCUUCUUUCCUUUCUUCUUUCCUUAUUUCACUCUUCUUUCUUUUCUUCUUCCUUUCUUAACUUUUGCAUUUCAUGCACUGGUAUUUCCUUCAGGAAAUGCAUUUUCUAGUUCUUCUUCUUCUUCUUCUUAUUAUUCUCUUUACCGAACUUCUGCGCUUAAUUCAGCUUGAACCGCUUAACUUAAAAACUUCGUUCAAACUUUGGCGCGUAGGUCUUGUAAAGGACACUUAUGCUAUGUAUUUUUCAUUUUUCUAAACUUUAUACUUUUUAAAAUAUUAAAUAAAAACUAAUACAAUUUCUCCCAUUGACUUACAUUGGGCCAUUAUGACAUCAUAAUAGGGUCUUUA
This is a long non-coding RNA of Clupea harengus (Atlantic herring), 1178 nucleotides long. The record is from Ensembl. Lineage: Eukaryota; Metazoa; Chordata; Actinopteri; Clupeiformes; Clupeidae.